RNAcentral lists this ribosomal RNA (440 nucleotides) under uncultured bacterium. RNAcentral's name for it is "partial 16S ribosomal RNA". It matches the Rfam family "Bacterial small subunit ribosomal RNA", at positions 338 to 795 of the family's 1533-position model. The record is from RNAcentral.
CCUACGGGAGGCAGCAGUGGGGAAUAUUGCACAAUGGGGGAAACCCUGAUGCAGCAACGCCGCGUGAGUGAAGAAGGAGUUCGGGAGGUAAAGCUCGAUCAGCAGGGAAGAAGAGGACGGUACCUGAGUAAGAAGCCCCGGCUAACUACGUGCCAGCAGCCGCGGUAAUACGUAGGAUUCAAGCGUUAUCCGGAGUUAUUGGGUUUAAAGGGUGCGUAGGCGGUCGGAUAAGUUAGAGGUGAAAUCCCGAGUCUCAACUUCGGACUUGCCUCUGAUACGGUUCGGCUAGAGCGUAGUUGCUGUCGGCGGCCUGUCUGGUGUAGCGGUGACAUGCUUAGAGCUCAUACAGCACCCCGAUUGCGACGGCAGCUUACCCAGCUACUUCUGCCGUUGCGGCACGCCAGCGUGGGGAGCACACCGGAUUAGAUACCCUUGUAGUC